This 446-nucleotide ribosomal RNA is filed under the name uncultured prokaryote. RNAcentral describes it as "bacterial SSU rRNA". It matches the Rfam family "Bacterial small subunit ribosomal RNA", at positions 355 to 796 of the family's 1533-position model. The record is from RNAcentral.
UCGAGAAUCUUCGGCAAUGCGCGCAAGCGUGACCGAGCGACGCCGCGUGUGGGAUGAAGGCCUUCGGGUUGUAAACCACUGUCAGUUGGGAGGAAAUCCUUGGGGGUUCUCCCCCUUGGUUGACCUAUCUUCAGAGGAAGGACGGGCUAAGUUCGUGCCAGCAGCCGCGGUAACACGAACCGUCCGAACGUUAUUCGGAAUCAUUGGGCUUAAAGGGUGCGUAGGCGGCGCGGUCAGUCGGGUGUGAAAUCCCUCGGCUCAACCGAGGAAUUGCGCCCGAUACUGCCGUGCUUGAGUGAGACAGAGGCGAGUGGAACUGAUGGUGGAGCGGUGAAAUGCGUUGAUAUCAUCAGGAACACCAGUGGCGAAAGCGGCUCGCUGGGUCUCUUCUGACGCUGAGGCACGAAAGCUAGGGUAGCGAACAGGAUUAGAUACCCCCGUAGUCC